GACGAACGCUGGCGGCGUGCUUAACACAUGCAAGUCGAACGGAAAGGCCCUGCUUUUGUGGGGUGCUCGAGUGGCGAACGGGUGAGUAACACGUGAGUAACCUGCCCUUGACUUUGGGAUAACUUCAGGAAACUGGGGCUAAUACCGGAUAGGAGCUCCUGCUGCAUGGUGGGGGUUGGAAAGUUUCGGCGGUUGGGGAUGGACUCGCGGCUUAUCAGCUUGUUGGUGGGGUAGUGGCUUACCAAGGCUUUGACGGGUAGCCGGCCUGAGAGGGUGACCGGCCACAUUGGGACUGAGAUACGGCCCAGACUCCUACGGGAGGCAGCAGUGGGGAAUAUUACACAAUGGGCGGAAGCCUGAUGCAGCAACGCCGCGUGCGGGAUGACGGCCUUCGGGUUGUAAACCGCUUUAGCCUGUGACGAAGCGUGAGUGACGGUAAUGGGUAAAGAAGCACCGGCUAACUACGUG
Molecule: ribosomal RNA, 468 nt
Filed under: uncultured bacterium
Lineage: Bacteria
Description: partial 16S ribosomal RNA
Rfam family: Bacterial small subunit ribosomal RNA
Source: RNAcentral